This 60-nucleotide transfer RNA is filed under the name Paragonimus westermani. Its description in RNAcentral is "tRNA-Ser". The record is from RNAcentral. Lineage: Eukaryota; Metazoa; Platyhelminthes; Trematoda; Plagiorchiida; Troglotrematidae.
GAGGAUUGUUGUGGUUGCCGCUGCUAACGGUGAUCGGGGUGUUUGUUCGUCCGGUCUUCU